RNAcentral lists this long non-coding RNA (283 nucleotides) under Homo sapiens (human). RNAcentral describes it as "HSALNT0155665". Lineage: Eukaryota; Metazoa; Chordata; Mammalia; Primates; Hominidae. The record is from RNAcentral.
AGGCCAAUAAUGGGAGCUGAGUGAGGGGGAGGAGGAAGAGGGUGGCUUUGCUUCCCUGGGGUGGGGGGUUCUAUUCCCUAAUGGCCAUUGGAAAUCAGCAUUCAUACUUGGCAAGAAAUAGCUAACCUCUACCUUGGGGAGCAUAGGCUUGGAGAGGAUGUGCCUACUGCAACCACUGGCUUUCAAAAGACUGGGCUUUCUUUGCUGAUGCUGGAUCAAACGUACUGAGACAUGGCCACAGAAGCUCUGCUGCUUUAUGGACAUGAAAGGUGGGUGACAAAGC